UACCCGGUGGUGUAAUUGGCAACACAAGGGAUUUUGGUUCCCUCGUUCCAGGUUCAAGUCCUGGCCGGGUAGCCU
This 75-nucleotide transfer RNA is filed under the name Planctomycetes bacterium RBG_13_63_9. Its description in RNAcentral is "tRNA-Gln". It matches the Rfam family "tRNA". Rfam says of the family: Transfer RNA (tRNA) molecules are approximately 80 nucleotides in length. Their secondary structure includes four short double-helical elements and three loops (D, anti-codon, and T loops). The record is from RNAcentral. Lineage: Bacteria; Pseudomonadati; Planctomycetota.